RNAcentral lists this ribosomal RNA (1066 nucleotides) under uncultured Amoebophrya. RNAcentral describes it as "partial Bacterial large subunit ribosomal RNA". It matches the Rfam family "Bacterial large subunit ribosomal RNA", at positions 819 to 1946 of the family's 2925-position model. The record is from RNAcentral. Lineage: Eukaryota; Dinophyceae; Syndiniales.
GGUGAAAGGCCAAUCAAACUCGGAAAUAGCUCGUACUCCCCGAAAUGCAUUUAGGUGCAGCGUAUUAAUAGUUUUAUAGAGGUAGAGCUACUGAUUGGAUGCGGGGGCUUCACCGCCUACCAAUUCCUGACAAACUCCGAAUGCUAUAAAAUGUUUUAAUGCAGUGAGGGCAUGGGUGCUAAGGUCCAUGUCCGAGAGGGAAAGAACCCGGACCAUCAGCUAAGGUCCCCAAAUAUAUACUAAGUUGAAUAAACGAGGUUUGACUGCCUAGACAGCUAGGAUGUUGGCUUGGAAGCAGCCAUUCAUUUAAAGAGUGCGUAACAGCUCACUAGUCGAGCGGUCGAGCAUGGAUAAUAAUCGGGCAUAAGUAUAUUACCGAAGCUAUGGACUUCUUUGGAAGUGGUAGGGGAGCAUUCUAUUUGCGCAGAAUGUGGUCUGUAAGGACUGCUGGAGCGGAUAGAAAAGAAAAUGUAGGCAUAAGUAACGAUAAUGCGGGCGAGAAACCCGCACACCGAAAGACUAAGGUUUCCUCAGCUAUGCUAAUCAGCUGAGGGUUAGUCGGGACCUAACGCGAACCCGAAAGGGGUAGUGGAUGGACAACAGGUUAAUAUUCCUGUACCUGCUCACACUAAAAGUGACGGAGGCGAAAAGUUAGUGCGCACUGACGGAAUAGUGCGUUGAAGGGAGUGGUAACACCCCGAUAGUACAGUAAGGCUACGGCCGCGCUGAUAAUCUAGCAAAUCGACUUCCAAGAAAACCGAGUGAAGCAGCCCGUACCGUAAACCGACACAGGUAGUUGGGAUGAGAAUUCUAAGGUGCUCGAGAGAUUCAUGGCUAAGGAACUAGGCAAAAUAGACCUGUAACUUCGGGAGAAAGGUCGCCCAUCUUCGGAUGGGCCGCAGUGAAAAGGUCCAGGCGACUGUUUAUCAAAAACAUAGGGCUUUGCUAAAUCGAAAGAUGAUGUAUAAGGCCUGACACCUGCCCGGUGCUGGAAGGUUAAGAGGAGGGUUUAGCUUCGGCGAAGAUCUGAAUUGAAGCCCCAGUAAACGGCGGCCGUAACAAUAAC